Molecule: transfer RNA, 74 nt
Filed under: Planctomycetota bacterium
Lineage: Bacteria; Pseudomonadati; Planctomycetota
Description: Planctomycetes bacterium (sediment metagenome) tRNA-Val
Rfam family: tRNA
About the family: Transfer RNA (tRNA) molecules are approximately 80 nucleotides in length.
Source: RNAcentral
GGGCGAUUAGUUCAGUUGGUUAGAACGCCUCGCUUACACCGAGGAGGGCGGCGGUUCGAGUCCGUCAUCGCCCA